UGCUUAGCCUGGAGCUAACAUACCUGCUCCUCAGUACUUUCCUGUAGCCAUCUGGCCUUGCUCCAUCACAUAAUAUAUUCAUCAGGAGAGAGCCAGGCUUCAACGGAAGAUGGGGGACAGCACAUGAAAUGAAAGAUCAUUGAUCAAGGCACCUCUAACACAAGCUACAAAGGACAAAUACUGAAGAUAGCAGCUGACAACUAACCCCACCCGUCACCAGGAAUCAUCCUCCUCUCUCCCCCACCAACAAAGAUCUCUUCCCCCUGCAAUACACUCUACCCUGAUACAAGGCAAGCAUCAACCUACAUCACAUAAGUGGAUAGUCUCUCCAGCAUGCCCUGAGGAGUCCAAGGUUAUGUCUUAGCUUUAAUGGAAGUUACUUAAGGGGAAGUUUAAAUAAAUAUUUUAUUAUUUUGGUAAAGUCUAAAAUAUUUUGCAAUAAAAAAUGAAAGUCUCUAACCUAAUACAGAAAUUGAACAAGGACUAUCUGGACACUGAAGAACAAUAAAGUGGGCAAAACUGAGUGAAGGAGGAUGGCUCCCCAAUGCUGCGGGCAGUUCUGUACCAUUCCACUCCAUUAUGGCUGCUCUAAUCUGUUCCAUCUGGCUGGAGCCCCAAGGCCACAGUACACCAGCUGGAGUUCACUGAAAUACAGAAGACUCUAGCCAUGCCCUCAAUGCAAUUAGAUUUUUUUUCUUCUUUUUGACCAAAACAAACUGGUGAAAUCAACUUGAAUUUGUGAAAAAUUGUCUGAAAAGUUUUGCUCAGCUUGAAAUGCACUCUAUGAGGGGAUUUGGAAAGACACAGCACAGGAUUUGACUGUACUGGCUAUACAUCUCUCAGGAAUUCCCCCAUGUCAGCGGAGUCCUCAGGUAUCUGAGUCAGCUUUUUGGACAUUGGUGAUUCUGGACCAUGGACUGAAGAUCAGGUCAUUUAUUUUUAAAUCUGAUCCCCAGUUUGUUAGGAAGUAGUAUUUACCUUUGAACAUUCCCAUUGGUGAACAAAAUCAAUGAAUCUUCAAAUUAAAAUAUAAAGAGGAAAUCCAGAAAUCUAUGAAAACACUAAGGAUGUAACUGAAAACACUGAAUUGUUAAUAUAUUUAAAGAUUCGCUACGAGGGUGAAAAAGAGAGAGAAAGGAACAGUCAGCCACUGAGAUGACAUCUGCCUCUCUAAGUGGAAAGAAAGGAGAGUGCUCACUAAAGGAAGAGAUGACGAUGAUGGCACAGCACUAGAAGUAACCUGAGAAUGAAAGGAGACAAAGAAGAUGGUCAGAAGCUUUGGAAUGUAUAUCAGCCUUGAGUGGGUAUCUGAUGGGAGCUGUUUAUAUAUGAAAUGUCACCUGAUAAAGCACAUGGCAGAGAAGAUCCAAAGAACAGAGAGACAUCUGGAGAUUAAUACCUUUUAAGGAGAAAGGAGGUGGAAUAGACAUCUCAGUGUUUGUGGACACCUGCUAAAAAAAGGCCAUGCAAGUGGACUGACAGAAGAGGUGGAUGAUCCAUGGAAGAAUGUGACCAUGAGGACAAGGCAGAGGAAAAAACCAAGUAAUAGUGAUGAAAUUAAGUUAAAUAACAAGUCUGAUGCACUGGGGAACCAGAGGAAAAACAGGCAGCAAAUGGAGUGAUGAGGAAGAAAAGAGAGAAGUGAAGCCAGUUCCUGCAGAAGAGAAGAUGAUGAUGAUAUGAUUGAUGAUGAUGGAGAUAGCCAGGUACCAGAACCUAAGGAAAAAUAGGGAUGACAUACAGGAGACUGCAAGAGAAAAAAGUAAGACAAAUUCAUGCCAACACCAGGAAUAGACAGUUCUAAGUGAUCAGAGACUCCAUACUCAAAAGACUAGAUACAGGGAACAGAAGAGUGUUCUGUCUGCCAGGACCAAGUAUACAAGAUGUGAACAUGAGACUGAAAUGGAUCCUAAUGGGACUGGGAAACAUCCAUAGAUUGUGCUGCAUGUUGGGUUGAGAUACUAGUAGAUUCCCAUACAAAUGGAUCAAGGACAACUAUGCUCAGCUGGGUAAGACACUUAAAGAAGUGGAGUCUCAGGUGAUAUUCAGUGGAAUAUUUCCAGUCCUUGGAGAAGGAGAGCUAAGGGGUGACAAGAUAAUGCAGAUCAACAGAACACUAAAGGAUUUCUGCUGUGAGGAAGACUGUGGGAUGAUUGAUAUGUUGGGAGGCAUUCACAAAAAGGGGCUCUUCUCAAGUGAUAGACUCCACUGAAAUACUUGGGGUAGGGUGAUCCGAUGUCCUGAUGUUAUCAGGACCAUCCUGAUAUUAGGGGCUUUGUCUUAUAUAGGCAACUAUGCCCCUCCCCCCAGGAAAAAAUGUCCCAGUUUUUCACACUUGCUAUCUGGUCAUCCUAAUCUGGGGUAUUAAUUUGAGAUCAAUGAUGGAACGACUGAUAAGGAUGGCUUUAAAUUCAGAGAUGAAGCAAAAAGGUUGGGUUAGACUUGUGAAAUCUCCUGGCAUCAAUAUGAAGGAUCGGGAAAAUUAAUUAAAUUAAGAUAUAGUAUGGAAUAAUGGAACACCACAAGGUAAGAGUAUGCACAAUAAAGACGAAGAAAGUACAAACAUUGAUUGUAGUAGAAGUCUUGUAGGUGUUACAGAUAGUGAAAAGACUAAUCUAAUCCAGAUAGCAAACUGGAUGAGA
Long non-coding RNA from Mauremys reevesii (Reeves's turtle), 2642 nucleotides. RefSeq lists it as uncharacterized. The transcript has 7 exons. The record is from RefSeq and is a predicted model, not a curated record. NCBI's taxonomy places the organism in Eukaryota, Metazoa, Chordata, Testudines, Geoemydidae.